ACGAGUGGCGGACGGGUGAGUAAUGUCUGGGAAACUGCCUGAUGGAGGGGGAUAACUACUGGAAACGGUAGCUAAUACCGCAUAACGUCGCAAGACCAAAGAGGGGGACCCUCGGGCCUCUUGCCAUCGGAUGUGCCCAGAUGGGAUUAGCUUGUUGGUGGGGUAACGGCUCACCAAGGCGACGAUCCCUAGCUGGUCUGAGAGGAUGACCAGCCACACUGGAACUGAGACACGGUCCAAACUCCUACGGGAGGCAGCAUG
Molecule: ribosomal RNA, 261 nt
Filed under: uncultured bacterium
Lineage: Bacteria
Description: partial 16S ribosomal RNA
Rfam family: Bacterial small subunit ribosomal RNA
Source: RNAcentral